GAUGAACGCUAGCGGCAGGCUUAACACAUGCAAGUCGAGGGGCAGCGUGAUGAAGUAGCAAUACGGAUUUGACGGCGACCGGCGCACGGGUGCGUAACGCGUAUGUAACCUACCUUUAACAGGGGGAUAACACUGAGAAAUUGGUACUAAUACCCCAUAAUACUUUAGGAGGCAUCUCUUAGAGUUGAAAGUUCCGGCGGUUAAAGAUGGACAUGCGUUGUAUUAGCUAGAUGGUGAGGUAACGGCUCACCAUGGCGACGAUACAUAGGGGGACUGAGAGGUUAACCCCCCACACUGGUACUGAGACACGGACCAG
RNAcentral lists this ribosomal RNA (316 nucleotides) under uncultured bacterium. Its description in RNAcentral is "bacterial SSU rRNA". It matches the Rfam family "Bacterial small subunit ribosomal RNA", at positions 28 to 334 of the family's 1533-position model. The record is from RNAcentral.